AAUUCUCAACUUCAAAACGCUUUGUUUUGAAGCUUGGACUUUGGAGGUCUUUUGCCGGCAUCACUGUCAGCUCCUCUUAAAUGCAUUAGCGGAACUUUAUUAAGGACCAGCUUUGGUUUGAUAAUCCUAUCUAUGCCGUCGCUGUGGACUUUUGUGUUCAGCUUCUAAUGGUCUUCGGACUGUCUCAUUUACGAGGCAUACGCUUUUAA
Molecule: unclassified non-coding RNA, 209 nt
Filed under: uncultured Clavariaceae
Lineage: Eukaryota; Fungi; Basidiomycota; Agaricomycetes; Agaricales; Clavariaceae
Description: sequence contains ITS2
Source: RNAcentral